Long non-coding RNA from Cervus elaphus (red deer), 1762 nucleotides. RefSeq lists it as uncharacterized. The record is from RefSeq and is a predicted model, not a curated record. The transcript is spliced from 3 exons. Lineage: Eukaryota; Metazoa; Chordata; Mammalia; Artiodactyla; Cervidae.
UAAAAAAGGUUUUUUCCAUGGAAGGAGUUGGGGGAAAGGGUCAAGAGUCAACCAAUCAGGAACAUCCAAGAAUAGUCUUACUGUGUGAAUCUGCUGAAAUUUGGUUGUGUUCAUAUUGCAGGACAGGGCCCAAGUCCUCCUCCCUGCCUCCAGGGCCCAUGUCUUGAUGGAAGCCUCCAUCCAGCGGGUGGGCAGGUGAAGCUCCUGUCCAGCGCCAUCCGAGCAGUAAUGCUGCCUUGGGUUCCGAUCUUGUAUGUGGUGCUUCCCAGUUCCUCAGCUCCACGGGACCUGCUGGCCGGCAGCUGCUCUGCCCCCAGACGGGAGCACAGCAAGCUCUGGCUUCAGCCCUGCUCAGCACACUGCAUUUCUCCCGGUUGCUGAUCCACAGUAUUCACCUCGUUUUGGGGGUUGGACAGUAUGUUUUCUGGUUCUCCCUUUUCUGUAUCGCUGCUGUGUUUCAGGGUCCACCUGGGUGUCACCUAACUGGAACACUGGCUCUGCACCAGGCCUCUUCUCCCUCCUUGUUUCCCUCCGAACACCAGCACGCCUCCUCCUCGCCACCCCCGCUGCCUCGUCCCCGACCUUUCUGGACCCUUGCUGCCUUUCUCACCCAACUCUUCUCAGAGCCACUCCCGCACCCGUGGCUCAUGUGCACCCCUCAUAACCUGCGGUCACUGUCUGCCUGCUUCACUCCCAUGACUGUCUCCUACGUCUGGUCCCAUUUGGACCUUGUCACUCGGUCUCAACUCUGACCCACGCAUGCACAGCUCUGCAAUACACUCACCCAUAGGUAAUAGUAAUACCUCACAGAAGAUCAGGCAGGCAAAUCAUUUUAAGACCUACAAAAACAUGAGUAAUUUAUAAUACUGAGAUGAGCAAAGAUUUUCUGCCCACGACACCAAAUCCAGAUUUCUUAAAAAUGAAUGUUAAGACUACUGAAGUUAAACUUUUGUGUAGUAUUAAGAAAACAUGAUUUUGUAAAGACAAACUAGGAAAACAUCUACCACUCAAGACAGUCUAACUUCCCUAGAGUAGAAAGGUGGCUAUAACUCACAGAGGUCAAACAAGCUGUUGACAAAAUGGUGAGAUGGGAAUGGGCAGCACCCCCCAGAAGAGGUGCUGGUAUAAAUACCAAUAAACCCAAAUGUCGCUACAAUUAAAAAAAAAGCAAUUGUGUAAUCUAUUUUUGCUGCUCGGAGUUGCAGUUUUAAAAAUUCAUAUGGAGGGGGGUUGGCAAGCAGGUAGGUAUUUUUGCUAUCACUGAAAUGACAUGUUGGUAAAAACUUGUCAGCAGGCUACAUUAGCAAUGUGUUAAAAUGUUAAGCAUCUCCACUCUGACGCAACAACUCUACUUCCAGAAACACAUCCUGAGUAGGUCUCAGCGGGGCAGAGAGGAGAGGGGCCAGCAUUAGCCGUGGGCAACAACCCCGUGUUUCUCACUAGGAGCCAGGACGCAAAUGCUGGGGCAGCUACAUCCUGGAACGGUGCUGAUGGAGAGGGAGGCACAGCCGUGUCACGUGUCCAAGACACAGGUAACGCCCGCUGCUUCCUGAAGUGAGUGUGCCUGUGUAUACUCCCCACUGGAGCGCGUGAGCUUCCUAGUUCUACAUCUUGGCCAACACUUGGAUGCGUUACAGCAAUGUUCCUGGUAUGGUUCCUGAUACUUUUUUGAAGCCCUCAAAAUUUUCAAUAUUAUUUUAAAAAGUGUUUAAAACAGCACUGACUUUCUCUAUCAGUUUUUAUUAAGUGGAAAAGGCAGAAA